This 85-nucleotide transfer RNA is filed under the name Flavobacteriaceae bacterium. RNAcentral describes it as "tRNA-Leu". It matches the Rfam family "tRNA". Rfam says of the family: Transfer RNA (tRNA) molecules are approximately 80 nucleotides in length. RNAcentral also lists the same sequence under 2 other names. Lineage: Bacteria; Pseudomonadati; Bacteroidota; Flavobacteriia; Flavobacteriales; Flavobacteriaceae. The record is from RNAcentral.
GCGGGCGUGGUGGAAUUGGUAGACACGCUAGACUUAGGAUCUAGUGCCGCAAGGUGUGAGAGUUCGAGUCUCUCCGCCCGCACCA